UGAAUCAAAGUAACUGAUCGAAUCGUAGCUUGCCUACGAUAAAUCAUCUAAGUUUCUGCCCUAUCAGCUCUCGAUGGUAGUGUAUUGGACUACCAUGGCAGUCACGGGUAACGGAGAAUUAGGGUUCGAUUCCGGAGAAGGAGCCUGAGAAACGGCUACUACAACUACGGUUUGGCAGCAGGGAAGAAAAUUGGCCAAUCCUAAUUCAGGGAGCCAGUGACAAGGAAUAGCAAACCGGGGAACUAUGUUUCUACGGUAUUGAAAUGAGAACAGUGUUAAUCUCUUAGCGAGAAACAAUUGGAGGGCAAGCCUGGUGCCAGCAGCCGCGGUAAUUCCAGCUCCAAUAGCGUAUAUUAAAGUUGUUGCAGUUAAAAAGCUCGUAGUUGAACUUCUGUCCCGGUUCGCCACAGUUCGCUGAGGCAAUUCUGGACAUACGUCUGCAAGCUAAAAUCGGCCUUCACUGGUGCGACUUAGUAAGUAGACAUUUUACUGUGAAAAAAUUAGAGUGUUUCAGGCAGGUUUUAGCCCGUAUACAUUAGCAUGGAAUAAUGGAAUAGGACUACGUCCAUUUUAUUGGUUAUUGGAUUUGGUAAUGAUUAAUAGGGACAGUUGGGGGCAUUAGUAUUUAAUAGUCAGAGGUGAAAUUCUUGGAUUUAUUAAGGACUAACUAAUGCGAAAGCAUUUGCCAAAGAUGUUUUCAUUAAUCAAGAACGAAAGUUAGGGGAUCAAAGACGAUCAGAUACCGUCGUAGUCUUAACUAUAAACUAUACCGACUCGGGAUCGGCUGGAAUUUAUGUCCAGUCGGCACCGUAUGAGAAAUCAAAGUCUUUGGGUUCUGGGGGAAGUAUGGUACGCAAGUCUGAAACUUAAAGGAAUUGACGGAACAGCACACCAGAAGUGGAACCUGCGGCUUAAUUUGACUCAACACGGGGAAACUCACGAGCGCAAGACAGAGAAGGGAU
This 962-nucleotide ribosomal RNA is filed under the name Hymenostomatia sp. bBoG2. RNAcentral's name for it is "SSU rRNA". It matches the Rfam family "Eukaryotic small subunit ribosomal RNA", at positions 247 to 1240 of the family's 1831-position model. Lineage: Eukaryota; Ciliophora; Oligohymenophorea; Hymenostomatida. The record is from RNAcentral.